Micropterus dolomieu (smallmouth bass) is the source of this 692-nucleotide long non-coding RNA. RefSeq lists it as uncharacterized. The record is from RefSeq and is a predicted model, not a curated record. NCBI's taxonomy places the organism in Eukaryota, Metazoa, Chordata, Actinopteri, Centrarchiformes, Centrarchidae. The transcript has 4 exons.
GUGGUUUUUGACAAUUGUCAAUAAAGAUUUGUUUGAAACCUCAGAGGCAGGUAGAAGUUUGUUUACUAGCAAUGAUGGUAACAAGGCAUAAAUGCUGCCUUGAUCAUCUGAGCCAUCCUGUGUGCCGAAAGUUGUUUAGAGAAAGGAAGAUGUGGACAGUAUGGAGCGUCCAUUUUGCAAAGAGAAUUGGAGGAAUGCCGGUUCAAACCCUGGAACAAUAAGUGUGCCACUACCACAACUGAGGUGCCUUUGAGCAACUAACUAACCCCAAACUGCUCAGCGGCCAACAGAUUGUUGUACUUGGCAGCUCCCAGUAUGAGGAGAGAGCUAAAACCAGAAGCAAAGGAAAAAAAGAGGACAUGUGGAGCAGGAGAGAUUGAUGGACCUCGGAGGGGAGAGAAUUCAGUUCCUGAAAGACUUUUGAGAAAAGCAAGCUUGUUUCCAUUCUAGGCUGAAGGGAACAUUUCAGAAGAUUACAUUUACAGUUGAGAAGAUUACAGCCAUGGUGUGACUGUAAAUCAAAAUGUGUGAUGACAGUGUGAUGCUGCACAGUGGGAUGCUGAGAUGUUGGGGAAUCCCCUGGACAACAGUUUCACUGCUGUGGUGCAGUGGAGUCAACAAGAGCAGAUCCUUGAGGAGAAAAACAGUCCGGGUUUUAUCAGCAGAAUACUGCAUGUGGCGUGUACUUUAAA